This 720-nucleotide ribosomal RNA is filed under the name uncultured Bacteroidales bacterium. RNAcentral describes it as "bacterial SSU rRNA". It matches the Rfam family "Bacterial small subunit ribosomal RNA", at positions 42 to 751 of the family's 1533-position model. The record is from RNAcentral. Lineage: Bacteria; Pseudomonadati; Bacteroidota; Bacteroidia; Bacteroidales.
ACAGGCUUAACACAUGCAAGUCGAGGGGCAGCAUGUUCUUAGCUUGCUAAGGCCGAUGGCGACCGGCGCACGGGUGAGUAACACGUAUCCAACCUGCCGUCUACUCUUGGACAGCCUUCUGAAAGGAAGAUUAAUACAAGAUGGCAUCAUGAGUCCGCAUGUUCACAUGAUUAAAGGUAUUCCGGUAGACGAUGGGGAUGCGUUCCAUUAGAUAGUAGGCGGGGUAACGGCCCACCUAGUCUUCGAUGGAUAGGGGUUCUGAGAGGAAGGUCCCCCACAUUGGAACUGAGACACGGUCCAAACUCCUACGGGAGGCAGCAGUGAGGAAUAUUGGUCAAUGGGCGAGAACCUGAACCAGCCAAGUAGCGUGAAGGAUGACUGCCCUAUGGGUUGUAAACUUCUUUUAUAAAGGAAUAAAGUCGGGUAUGGAUACCCGUUUGCAUGUACUUUAUGAAUAAGGAUCGGCUAACUCCGUGCCAGCAGCCGCGGUAAUACGGAGGAUCCGAGCGUUAUCCGGAUUUAUUGGGUUUAAAGGGAGCGUAGAUGGAUGUUUAAGUCAGUUGUGAAAGUUUGCGGCUCAACCGUAAAAUUGCAGUUGAUACUGGAUAUCUUGAGUGCAGUUGAGGCAGGCAGAAUUCGUGGUGUAGCGGUGAAAUGCUUAGAUAUCACGAAGAACUCCGAUUGCGAAGGCAGCCUGCUAAGCUGCAACUGACAUUGAGG